UGGGGAAUAUUGCACAAUGGGCGCAAGCCUGAUGCAGCAACGCCGCGUGAGGGAUGACGGCCUUCGGGUUGUAAACCUCUUUUAGCAGGGAAGAAGCGAAAGUGACGGUACCUGCAGAAAAAGCACCGGCUAACUACGUGCCAGCAGCCGCGGUAAUACGUAGGGUGCAAGCGUUGUCCGGAAUUAUUGGGCGUAAAGAGCUCGUAGGCGGUCUGUCGCGUCUGCUGUGAAAUCCCCGAGGCUCAACCUCGGGCCUGCAGUGGGUACGGGCAGACUAGAGUGCGGUAGGGGAGAAUGGAACUCCUGGUGUAGCGGUGGAAUGCGCAGAUAUCAGGAAGAACACCGAUGGCGAAGGCAGUUCUCUGGGCCGUAACUGACGCUGAGGAGCGAAAGCGUGGGGAGCGAACAGGAUUAGAUACCCUGGUAGUCCACGCCGUAAACGUUGGGCGCUAGAUGUGGGGACCAUUCCACGGUUUCCGUGUCGCAGCUAACGCAUUAAGCGCCCCGCCUGGGGAGUACGGCCGCAAGGCUAAAACUCAAAGGAAUUGACGGGGUCAUAGCUGUUUCCU
RNAcentral lists this ribosomal RNA (569 nucleotides) under uncultured bacterium. Its description in RNAcentral is "partial 16S ribosomal RNA". It matches the Rfam family "Bacterial small subunit ribosomal RNA", at positions 355 to 1375 of the family's 1533-position model. The record is from RNAcentral.